RNAcentral lists this ribosomal RNA (425 nucleotides) under uncultured bacterium. Its description in RNAcentral is "partial 16S ribosomal RNA". It matches the Rfam family "Bacterial small subunit ribosomal RNA", at positions 354 to 796 of the family's 1533-position model. The record is from RNAcentral.
GUUAGGAAUAUUGGACAAUGGGCGCAAGCCUGAUCCAGCCAUGCCGCGUGAACGAUGAAGGCCUUCGGGUUGUAAAGUUCUUUAGCCGAUGAUUAUAAUGACUGUAGUCGGAAAAUAAGCCCCGGCUAACUUCGUGCCAGCAGCCGCGGUAAUACGAAGGGGGCGAGCGUUAUUCGGAAUCACUGGGCGUAAAGCGUGCGUAGGCGGUCUCGUAAGUUAGGAGUGAAAGCACAGGGCUCAACCUUGGAAUUGCUCUUAAAACUGCAAGGCUAGAAUCUCGGAGAGGAUAGCGGAAUUUCCAGUGUAGCAGUGAAAUGCGUAGAUAUUGGAAGGAACACCAGUGGCGUAAGCGGCUAUCUGGACGACUAUUGACGCUGAGGCACGAAAGCGUGGGGAUCAAACAGGAUUAGAAACCCCAGUAGUCC